AUUGAACGCUGGUGGAAUGCUUUACACAUGCAAGUCGAACGGCAGCACGGACUUCGGUCUGGUGGCGAGUGGCGAACGGGUGAGUAAUGUAUCGGAACGUGCCCAGUCGUGGGGGAUAACGUAGUGAAAAUUACGCUAAUACCGCAUACGAUCUAUGGAUGAAAGCGGGGGAUCGCAAGACCUCGCGCGGCAGGAGCGGCCGAUGUCUGAUUAGCUAGUUGGUGGGGUAAAGGCCCACCAAGGCGACGAUCAGUAGCUGGUCUGAGAGGACGAUCAGCCACAGUGGGACUGAGACACGGCCCAGACUCCUACGGGAGGCAGCAGUGGGGAAUUUUGGACAAUGGGGGCAACCCUGAUCCAGCAAUGCCGCGUGUGUGAAGAAGGCCUUCGGGUUGUAAAGCACUUUUGUCCGGAAAGAAAUCGCGCUGGUUAAUACCUGGCGUGGAUGACGGUACCGGAAGAAUAAGCACCGGCUAACUACGUGCCAGCCGCCGCCGUAA
This 500-nucleotide ribosomal RNA is filed under the name uncultured bacterium. Its description in RNAcentral is "partial 16S ribosomal RNA". It matches the Rfam family "Bacterial small subunit ribosomal RNA", at positions 30 to 523 of the family's 1533-position model. The record is from RNAcentral.